Molecule: ribosomal RNA, 869 nt
Filed under: Escherichia coli
Lineage: Bacteria; Pseudomonadati; Pseudomonadota; Gammaproteobacteria; Enterobacterales; Enterobacteriaceae
Description: partial 23S ribosomal RNA
Rfam family: Bacterial large subunit ribosomal RNA
Source: RNAcentral
GCACAUGCUGUGAGCUCGAUGAGUAGGGCGGGACACGUGGUAUCCUGUCUGAAUAUGGGGGGACCAUCCUCCAAGGCUAAAUACUCCUGACUGACCGAUAGUGAACCAGUACCGUGAGGGAAAGGCGAAAAGAACCCCGGCGAGGGGAGUGAAAAAGAACCUGAAACCGUGUACGUACAAGCAGUGGGAGCACAGAGCAAUCUGUGUGACUGCGUACCUUUUGUAUAAUGGGUCAGCGACUUAUAUUCUGUAGCAAGGUUAACCGAAUAGGGGAGCCGAAGGGAAACCGAGUCUUAACUGGGCGUUAAGUUGCAGGGUAUAGACCCGAAACCCGGUGAUCUAGCCAUGGGCAGGUUGAAGGUUGGGUAACACUAACUGGAGGACCGAACCGACUAAUGUUGAAAAAUUAGCGGAUGACUUGUGGCUGGGGGUGAAAGGCCAAUCAAACCGGGAGAUAGCUGGUUCUCCCCGAAAGCUAUUUAGGUAGCGCCUCGUGAAUUCAUCUCCGGGGGUAGAGCACUGUUUCGGCAAGGGGGUCAUCCCGACUUACCAACCCGAUGCAAACUGCGAAUACCGGAGAAUGUUAUCACGGGAGACACACGGCGGGUGCUAACGUCCGUCGUGAAGAGGGAAACAACCCAGACCGCCAGCUAAGGUCCCAAAGUCAUGGUUAAGUGGGAAACGAUGUGGGAAGGCCCAGACAGCCAGGAUGUUGGCUUAGAAGCAGCCAUCAUUUAAAGAAAGCGUAAUAGCUCACUGGUCGAGUCGGCCUGCGCGGAAGAUGUAACGGGGCUAAACCAUGCACCGAAGCUGCGGCAGCGACGCUGAUGCGUUGUUGGGUAGGGGAGCGUUCUGUAAGCCUGUGAAGG